GUCAGGAUAGCUCAGUUGGUAGAGCAGAGGACUGAAAAUCCUCGUGUCGCCAGUUCAAAUCUGGUUUCUGACA
RNAcentral lists this transfer RNA (73 nucleotides) under Vallisneria denseserrulata x Vallisneria spiralis. Its description in RNAcentral is "tRNA-Phe". It matches the Rfam family "tRNA". Rfam says of the family: Transfer RNA (tRNA) molecules are approximately 80 nucleotides in length. Their secondary structure includes four short double-helical elements and three loops (D, anti-codon, and T loops). Lineage: Eukaryota; Viridiplantae; Streptophyta; Magnoliopsida; Alismatales; Hydrocharitaceae. The record is from RNAcentral.